UACGGAGGGGCUAGCGUUGUUCGGAAUUACUGGGCGUAAAGCGCGCGUAGGCGGACCUGCAAGUCGGGGGUGAAAGCCCGAGGCUCAACCUCGGAACUGCCUUCGAUACUGCGGGUCUCGAGUCCGGGAGAGGUGAGUGGAAUUCCUAGUGUAGAGGUGAAAUUCGUAGAUAUUAGGAAGGAACACCAGUGGCGAAGGGCGGC
Molecule: ribosomal RNA, 203 nt
Filed under: uncultured bacterium
Lineage: Bacteria
Description: partial 16S ribosomal RNA
Rfam family: Bacterial small subunit ribosomal RNA
Source: RNAcentral